Molecule: ribosomal RNA, 134 nt
Filed under: Fukomys damarensis (Damara mole-rat)
Lineage: Eukaryota; Metazoa; Chordata; Mammalia; Rodentia; Bathyergidae
Source: RNAcentral
GUCUAUGGCCAUACCACCCUGCACGUGCCCGAUCUCAUCUGAUCUCAGAAGCUAAGCAGGGUCGGGGCUGGUUAGUCCUUGGAUGGGAGAUGCUUGUCUUGUGUUUUUUACAAAUGCAUGUGUGUCUAUAGUCA